AGUGAACGCUGGCGGUAGGCCUAACACAUGCAAGUCGAACGGCAGCACAGUAAGAGCUUGCUCUUACGGGUGGCGAGUGGCGGACGGGUGAGGAAUACAUCGGAAUCUACUUUUUCGUGGGGGAUAAUGUAGGGAAACUUACGCUAAUACCGCAUACGACCUACGGGUGAAAGCAGGGGAUCUUCGGACCUUGCGCGAUUGAAUGAGCCGAUGUCGGAUUAGCUAGUUGGCGGGGUAAAGGCCCACCAAGGCGACGAUCCGUAGCUGGUCUGAGAGGAUGAGCAGCCACACUGGAACUGAGACACGGGCCAGACUCCUACGGGAGGCGGCAGUGGGGAAUAUUGGACAAUGGGCGAAAGCCUGAUCCAGCCAUACCGCGUGGGUGAAGAAGGCCUUCGGGUUGUAAAGCCCUUUUGUUGGGAAAGAAAAGCAGCAGGUUAAUACCCCGCUGUUCUGACGGUACCCAAAGAAUAAGCACCGGCUAACUUCGU
Molecule: ribosomal RNA, 491 nt
Filed under: uncultured bacterium
Lineage: Bacteria
Description: partial 16S ribosomal RNA
Rfam family: Bacterial small subunit ribosomal RNA
Source: RNAcentral